GCUUUGCCCUGGCCUCACCUCAGCUCGGUGGGUGGGGACGGGCGAGCCCCUCGCCUCCUGCUCCUCCCCAGCAGCCGCGAUGGUCACUAACGGGCCGGGGGUGCGGUGCGGCUCCCCUCACCCAGCGCCGGGUCCCCGCCUCCUGCUCUCGCCCCGUCCCCGCCUCCUGCUGCCCGAGCCGCGCUCGCUGGGCUCUGAGGGAGCCGGGAGCCGCCGCCGCUAGGGGAGGAGGGAGCGCGCCUGCGCCACCGCCCGGGCGGCGAGACGGGAGGAGGCAGCGGGGCCGCCGGCGGCUCCAGUGCCCGGGGAGGGGGAGUCCGGUCCCGGCCCGGCUACCUGAGAGCGGCGCGGGGCUCGGGCGGCCUCAGUGCGCAGGUGCGCCAAGAGCAGCAGAAGUGACCAUGGAAGAGGCAGCGGGAGGGAGAAUCCAGAGCCCACUUGCCAGGAGUCAGUACAGGAGGAAAUGGGAGAGCUUGGAGGCAGAUGCCAUCCUAGAGAAAAAUCUUGAGAGCAAGUCUUUCAGCCACAAGAAACCAAUCGACUGUUCCUAACUCCAACUGCCAUGGAACUGUCCAGUACCAAAUUCUGUUCCUUGCAUUAAAGAAGCAUCAUCCCACUCUUCAUGCUGUUUGAUUACCCGAGGUUUGUUUGAGAGCCCUACCAGUUUUUCCCUGCAUGCCAUGGAGCUCCUCUUGCAACACCCAACUCUAGGGUUAAUGUAAAGAUUGUACCAGAUAAAACUGUGACUCCAGGAGGGAAAUGGACCUUUUUCCUAUGUUUUCUGAUUGGAGCUCUGGAUUUAGUUUAGAGUCAGCCAGGGGAGACCAUAGAAAAUAGAGGUCUUCAUCCAGAGAUACUAAAAUUAAUGUCUGCAAACGGUACUGCUGGCAAGGUCCUCCAGGGAAAGAGGGACUGCCUGAUUUGUCCAUUCUUAGAAGCAUUUGGGUACCUUCUCCAGCCAACUGUAAGGCAACAUCUUGGGCCUGAUUCUCCACUGCCUUGCACGCUGUGUCAUUAUUGACACCUGUGCACAGGAAAUGUAAAUUAUUAUUAGCAGUGUAAGAAUGUGAAGAAUGCUAAUUUGUUAGUAUUUUACACCCACUUUGCAUAAGUGUAAAUAAAAAGGAGAUCUGGGGAGCGGGAGGUGUCACAUGGUACUCAUGAAGAAGAUGGCUGCUUAGUCCUGGACCUCCUCACUCCCUACAUAUCAAUCCAUCAAUCCAUCUCUAAUAAUUACAUUCCUAACAAAUUAUCAAGUAAGUUUCUGUCAUAAAAGCUUAAAUUAAUCCCCUGGAUAAACUUCAAACUCUUGACUAUGGAUUCUAAUGAAAACAUGAGAGGCAACAAAAGACCUAUGCCUGAAUCACCUAAGCAGCUGAAGGGGGAGACUGCAAGGCCGCAGCAGAAUCUAGGCCAGGAUAUCGCAGCACUAAAAGAAUUCCUCACAGUCUGACUGGAUUCAAUCUCAAAAGAUAUUUGUGGUCUCUGUAAAGAUAUAUGUGAUGUAAAAUCCCAAAUGGCUCUCUUGAAAAAAGAGCUACAAAAGUUUGUCAUUGAAACCAGGAAAAUGAAUGAAGAAGCUUCCGCGUUAACAGGAAGACUUAGAAAACAGAUCUCAAAGAAACAACCUCGCCUUUUGGGCACUGCUGAGGGUCUAGAGGGGAAGGAUAUUAUAAGCUUUCUUCAGAAACUGCUACCCGACAUAAAUUGGACCCCCAAGUUGUGCCUAUUAGAUAUUGAAAGGGCUCAUCAAAUGACUGGUACUGGAGGGCAGGAGUCUGGCAAGCCCACACCCUAUCAUCUUCAAGCUGCUGAAAUUUAUGGAUAAAGCAAUGUUAAUGAAUGCUGCCAGAAGGCUGAAACCCUUCUGUUUAAAGGCCACCAUUUUUUUUCCUGACUUCCCAGCUGUUCUAAACAAAAAGAUGGCUGCAUUCAAUGGCAUAAAGUAAAUCCUGAAGGGGACCAAUGUCAGAUACAGCAUCAAGUACCCACCCACCUUCACUAUGGAUUUAGUAGGCUUCACAAGAUUUUGCAAAAACCCCUCUGAAGCUUGGCAGAAACUUUCAAAUACUGACACCAGAUUUGACCAAAAAUAGCAAAAUGUUUUUUUCAUCAUGAAAAGCAUACCUCAACAAGUUUAAAAAUCACUUUGUUUUCAUGUGUAUCCUUGUAGAUAUGGUAAUAUUAA
Non-coding RNA from Chrysemys picta bellii (western painted turtle), 2188 nucleotides. Lineage: Eukaryota; Metazoa; Chordata; Testudines; Emydidae. The record is from RefSeq and is a predicted model, not a curated record.